GAAAAAACUGGCAUGGUGUAGAAGUGUCCCUUUCAUUGGUGGUAGGCAAAAGGCGGAUCAUUGGCAGCUUUACCGUGUAAUAAUGAACUUUGAAGCUAAUGGUUUAACACUGAUGUUGGCCGCCUUCACCUAAUUGGAUAUCAUAAAAGCUAAUACAGUUUCAACAGUGAAGCCUCGAGUAAAGCUAACUUCGAUCCACCCAAGGGAAAACAAAUCGUAAGACAAAUCAAAUUCCCUUCGCCAGUAGCAGGAGUUACGGCGUGUUGAGUAAGUAUGGUGGACUGCGUCAUCAGCGCCUACGAUUUCAGCGAUUAUGCAUCUAUGUUAAGUGACAGCAAUUCG
Molecule: long non-coding RNA, 342 nt
Organism: Armigeres subalbatus
Lineage: Eukaryota; Metazoa; Arthropoda; Insecta; Diptera; Culicidae
Exons: 3
Source: RefSeq, a predicted model, not a curated record